This 422-nucleotide ribosomal RNA is filed under the name uncultured bacterium. RNAcentral's name for it is "bacterial SSU rRNA". It matches the Rfam family "Bacterial small subunit ribosomal RNA", at positions 355 to 774 of the family's 1533-position model. The record is from RNAcentral.
UGAGGAAUAUUGGUCAAUGGACGCAAGUCUGAACCAGCCAUGCCGCGUGGAGGAUUAAGGCCCUCUGGGUUGUAAACUCCUUUUAUCUGGGAAGAAAUGUACUUUUUCUUGAGUACUUGACGGUACCAGAGGAAUAAGCACCGGCUAACUCCGUGCCAGCAGCCGCGGUAAUACGGAGGGUGCAAGCGUUAUCCGGAUUCACUGGGUUUAAAGGGUGCGUAGGUGGGCAGGUAAGUCAGUGGUGAAAUCUCCGGGCUUAACCCGGAAACUGCCGUUGAUACUAUUUGUCUUGAAUAUUGUGGAGGUAAGCGGAAUAUGUCAUGUAGCGGUGAAAUGCUUAGAUAUGACAUAGAACACCGAUUGCGAAGGCAGCUUACUACACAAUCAUUGACGCUGAGGCACGAAAGCGUGGGGAGCAAACA